AACGAACGCUGGCGGCAUGCCUAACACAUGCAAGUCGAACGAGACCUUCGGGUCUAGUGGCGCACGGGUGCGUAACGCGUGGGAACCUGCCUUUAGGUUCGGAAUAACUCAGAGAAAUUUGAGCUAAUACCGGAUGAUGUCUUCGGACCAAAGAUUUAUCGCCUUUAGAUGGGCCCGCGUUGGAUUAGCUAGUUGGUGGGGUAAAGGCCUACCAAGGCGACGAUCCAUAGCUGGUCUGAGAGGAUGAUCAGCCACACUGGGACUGAGACACGGCCCAGACUCCUACGGGAGGCAGCAGUGGGGAAUAUUGGACAAUGGGCGAAAGCCUGAACCAGCAAUGCCGCGUGAGUGAUGAAGGCCUUAGGGUUGUAAAGCUCUUUUACCCGAGAUGAUAAUGACAGUAUCGGGAGAAUAAGCUCCGGCUAACUCCGUG
This 433-nucleotide ribosomal RNA is filed under the name uncultured bacterium. RNAcentral describes it as "partial 16S ribosomal RNA". It matches the Rfam family "Bacterial small subunit ribosomal RNA", at positions 29 to 507 of the family's 1533-position model. The record is from RNAcentral.